This 270-nucleotide long non-coding RNA is filed under the name Fukomys damarensis (Damara mole-rat). RNAcentral describes it as "lncRNA (ENSFDAG00000029133.1)". The record is from RNAcentral. Lineage: Eukaryota; Metazoa; Chordata; Mammalia; Rodentia; Bathyergidae.
AAACAUUUAACACAAGGCCGGGAAUGAUGGAGCACAUUUGCUAAGAAGAAGCAUCGCUGUCCUUGGGAAUCGGAGACCAGUAAGUGCCACGUGGAGGAGUAGGGCAACGGCCCUGACCCCCUGCUUCCUGUCUGCCAGGUCACUGGCCUUCAGGGGUGGCAGAUGCCAGCUGUCUUGGCAGCCACUGAUCCCGGCAGGUCUCCAAGAGCAGCUCACACCCCGCAGAGCGAAUCUGCAAAGAAGGCUCCUGUGAGUCACAGCUGACCGCUC